Molecule: long non-coding RNA, 223 nt
Filed under: Elaeis guineensis (African oil palm)
Lineage: Eukaryota; Viridiplantae; Streptophyta; Magnoliopsida; Arecales; Arecaceae
Description: long non-coding RNA (EGUI_LNC011316)
Source: RNAcentral
AUACAGCACAAGUCUAUAGUUAAAUGGUCCACAUAAGAAAGUGUUUUUAAUUUUUCAAAAAAUGGCGUGAACACAAAGCACAAAACUAAGGAGCAUUUUCCUUUAAAUUAGAUGGCCAAUUUGUCACUCAAUUUGCUUGCUAUUAAAUACGAUCCUCAUGAGAUCCCCAAUGAUGGCUAUAUUUUUUGCAUUAUGGUUGUACAUCAUCUAGUAAACUCCCUGC